This 4942-nucleotide long non-coding RNA is filed under the name Nicotiana benthamiana. RNAcentral's name for it is "long non-coding RNA (NBEN_LNC023888)". Lineage: Eukaryota; Viridiplantae; Streptophyta; Magnoliopsida; Solanales; Solanaceae. The record is from RNAcentral.
UUCAAAGCAACCUAGGCCAAUUUCCUUCUCUUAGCAUGAUCUUACAUAAUUAAGACUCAAGAGGCAUUCAACCAUUCAACUGUAUGAACAUAGCAACAAACAUACGAUAAUAACACAAGAAGUAAACUCUAUGACCUAUUACUGAUUCGACCCUAUGUGUUACCCUUCAAACUCCCUUAACUAUUCAAAGACACCAAGUUAACAAUAAGAGCUCAAUAAUUGAAAUGUCCCCAACUACAAAAUUUAACAGAAUACUACAUUCUAUGUCAAAUAUAAAUAGAAUCCAACUCCUUAGAGGAAGUUAUUAGCAAACAAACCAUAGGCAUUAAAGGUAAAUUAGAAAAAUAGCAAACAUAAAAUAAAAUAAAUUUUAGAUCAUGCUUCAACAUUCUGUUUCUCAUUGCAUCUUCUCAUUUGGACUUCACAUUGAGAUUCAAGUAUAUUUACCUGAAAAUGGAAAAGGGAAAAGAGGUGAAGAAGUAGUAGCUAUAGCAGAACAGAAACUAACAAGCAACCAAUGUGAAAUACUCAAUGAAACAGUGAUUCCGAGCACCUAACCUGAAACCAGUUCAAUUAUUUAAACCAUUUUUCUAUUUCACCAAUAAGACUAUCAAAUUCCAAGAGUUCUUUGCCCCAAAGAAUCAUAAAAUACCAAACCAGAAGUAAAUUUUUUAUUUUAACGGAAAAAAGGGUAAAAAAUAUCCCUAUCAUUUGCUAAUGGUUUAUAAAUAUCCCCCGACCACCUAUCCGUUCAAAAAAAUACACUCCGUCCAUCUAUCAGGUAAAAAAAAAAUACGAAGUUAAUUCUAUUAACAAAAAUACCCUGCGACUAACAACAGAACUGAUGGAUGAUCUUUAUAAACCAUUUAGCAAAUGAUAGGGAUGCGUCUUUCGUUUAAUGAUGUGGUGAUUCUUAAUUGGGCCAUGUGACAAUCUUUGACUAGAACAAAAAAUGAAUAUUAUUUCAACUCAUUUACCUUAUCCAAUCCAUUUACAAAAAUGGGUAGUAUCUAUUACGCACAUUCUCACUCAUGUAAUCUCCCCCUUUCUUCUUCUCCAAUUGGGAUACUGCAUAUACACAAUAACCGAUUAAUUUAAGAAUAGAUAAAACCUAAAAUCAAACAACCCGAAAUUCAAAACAGAUUUUAAAAUUUCUCCAAUCAAACUCAGGAUAAGUAUUGAAACUCUUAAAUGGAAAAUCAACAGAUACAUUUGGGUUGUUUAGUAAGAAGACAAGUAUUAAAACAAAACAAAAAUGUGAAACAAAAAAAUUGAGUCCAAAUGCUAAAAUUGUCCAAAUAUAUCAAUCAAAUUUAGGACAAAUAUUGAAACUUCGAAAGGGAAAAGUAAUGGAAAUCUUUGGAUUGUUCAUAAUAAGACAAAAGAGCCACUAAAUAAUAGAGAAAAAAUAACUACAUAUAACUAAUACAAGCACACAAGAAAAUUAAAACCAAGGUGUUAAAAAGCUUGAAAUUAUCACAUUCUAGGAUAAAGAUUGAAUCUAUAAAAGGUAAAAGAAAUUAAAAAUAGCCACGUCACUAAAUGAAGUACCCAUCCCUAUGUUUGAUAAAUGGUUUAUAAAUACCAUUCAUCCAUCUAUCCGUUCAAAAAUACACACUCCAUCAGUUCCCCUGUUAGUCGCGAGGGUAUUUUUGUUAAUAGAAUUAACUACUUGUAUUUUUUUGAACGGAUAGGCGGACGGAGGGUAUUUAUAAUCCAUUUAGCAAACGAUGGGGAUAGUUUUGGCCCUUCUCCGUUGUUUUAAUAAUGUAGAAACUGUGAAUUUUUAUAAGAAAGCCCAGCCAUUUCAGUUUUUGGGAUCUAUCUAUCUUCAAAAUUGCCUUCAACCUCAAGUAACAAUGCCUUAAUAGGCAAGCCAUUAGGGAAACCUAAAAGAAAUUAAAUUGUAUUUGAACCCUUUUCAAAUUUUAGUUUUAGCUCCCAUAUACCUCUAAUGCAAAUUUCAGAAUUUCAAAACAAUCCCAAACCCCCUUUGCUGGAAGCUUUCUAUGGUUGUUACAAAAGAUUCCCCUAUCUAUAUUCCCCAAUUUACCCUUAACAUCCCUAUUUUUUAUUGUAGGAAACCAAAUGGGUAUGGGUCAUCUUGACCCAAGGUUUCAAUUCAACAAACUGGGCUAAUCCCCUCCCUUUGGACCCUGUUCCAAUUCAGAAACCCAAUAAAAAAGAACUGAAAGCAAAACAAAUAAUAGCAAAAGAAAAAUAUUUGGGCGCAAACGAAUUGUAAGCCCGAAGUAACACAUGCUGCAACAUUUCAACAAUUAAUAAAUUAGGCUAAAUGACUUACUAGCUAGAAUUUAACCAAACUGACCAAAAACAGUUUCAGUUUUAACCAAGACUUACUAGCUAUAAUUUAACCAAACUGACCAAAAACAGUUUUAGAAUUAACCAAGCAUGACCAAAUGAAAAAUUAAAUAAAAAAAGAAUUAAGAAGAAAAGAAGAAGAGAAAUGGAAGAAGAAAAAUGAAGAAACGAAUAAACCGAAGAAAAGAAGAUAAUACCUACUAAAAGUCGGACAAUGAAAGUGGAGCUUGAGUCUUCAAAUCCUCCGAUUUUCCAGCCAAAUGUGAUGUUAAUCAUGUGCUCUUACAAAGAGAACACGAAUAAAAUCAUAUUAAACUCGAAAUUUCAAAAAAAUCUUGACUUGGGAUUUUUAGGGUUCAUUUUGUGAUUUAAGAUUCAGGGAGUUCCGGCCAUGUUCGAGGGAAAUGGGGUGAGAUCCUAUAAACAUAAUAUCUAUUUCGGAUUCACAAUGUGGCAAAGCAGUUUUCUAAACUGUAUUAAGAAGAGAGAAAGUUGUUUAGAAACUAGGUCAGAAUAGUAUGGGUUGAAAUUAUUUUAGAUUAUACCAGUUUCAGAUCCUAUAGGAAGGAUAUCUAUUAGUGCCAAUUUUAAUUCCUAUAGAUAUGAUAUGUGGUUGAACGUGAAAUGAAGCAGAUGAGAUUUUACUUGAGAUUCCUAUAGGCAUGAUUUCUAUGAAAAGGUAUUGAUUCUUAACCUUAUGGAUAUGAUGUCUGAUUUUAGCCAUUUAGAUCCUAAGAACAUGGUGUCUAAGUGUGGUAAUAACAUGCAUAAUUUAAAACAAGUCCUAUAGGCAUGUUAUAUAAAUGCAGAGUUUAAAACAGGCCCUAUAGACAGGUUCUCUAGGUGCAGAGUUAAACAUGUAGAUUUAAAAGGAUCCUAUAGACAUAUUAUCUAAAUAGUGAAUUAAUCAUGCAGAAAACAAGCCCUAUAGGAAUGUUAUAUACCUUAAGCAUGCAUAAUUACCCAGCCCUUUUCACUAACCAGUCCCAAUAUUUAUUACAAUUUAUUACAUGCCAAAUAAUGAAUUACAUCAGAAAAGUGUAAAGUAGAAGUUACAACCAAAGAAAGCCUGAUUUUAGCACGGUCACUCAACUAUUAUUAUUGGCUUACUGUUAACCCGGGAGAAGAUGUUAGGUAUUCCGGGUUCCGUAAUUCUAGCACGGUCACUCAACUAUUAUUAUUGGCCUAAUUAUCUGAUUUUAAAAUAUGUUUAAACCUAUGUGCUUUUUUACUUUUAAACCGCUUUUAUUCAUUUUUAGGAAGGUUUCAAUGUUAUACAAAACACAUAUUUGGAUCACGCCACAUAUAAAUGCACCCACGAUCCGUGACAUAUUUUGUUUAACGUUGUUAGGAUUUGGAUUUGGGUCACAUGAAAUGCACACCCAAGUUUAAGGAACUUAAUUAUUAAAAUAACGUGCCUAGAGCAACUACGCGUUUGCAACUUUUCGAGGGCCAUGAAAAUUCGUUUAGUGGCACACUUCGAUUUAUAAGGAUAAACAAGAUUAAUUAAAUGAGGGCCAUGCGAUUGAGAUUUUCUUUUUGCACGGCACGCCUCGAAUUAUUCUAACCGAAGGCUUCUACACUAACUCAUGAUGACCAUAAACUACUUGUAUUAUAUAAUAUGACACGCCCCAAAUCACCUUUGCUUAAACUUAUUCGAAGUAUUGGGGCCAUAGGCUAACCGUGUUGCUUAUUAAGUCUUAACUCAAUUAUUAACAAAAUCUGACUGACAACGCUAGGUGAAUGAGGAUUUUAUCCUUCUUGAUUUUAAAUCCAACAUUCAGUUUCAGAUUUACAAAAAAUAAAAUAAAAUUGGCACUUGAAGAAAGGGAAUAGAUCUGGCUAAAAAAAACAAAUGGAUCAUGCCAUAAUCAAUAAAUCCAAAGGAUGAAAUGGGCAUGCCUAACAUGGGAGGCGAACGUCCAUGCUUGGCGUAACCUCAUGGCUCAAACAAACUGAGGAUCAAGAGAAAGCAAUGAUGAGACUCGAUUGGAGUCCCAUGGCGUGCAUUUAAUAUCAAAAACGAUUAAGAAGGGGGUUAAUAUCGAACCCAAUUAACUAACGACAAGGCAAAGAAUUAUCAACAACAUAUCUUCAAGAUUAGGCUUGAAAGUGACCAAGUUUUAGUGAAGAGAGAAGGUCCAAAGACUCAAACUCACAGACAAGUAGUGAGAAGGAAUUCUCCUCUUCUAGGCCAGCCUAUAGCCCAUGUUUUUAGACCCCAUUCAGGUCACAAACCAGUACAAGUUGCAAAUCCCAUUAAAACCGUAAAAAACAUGACAUUACAUUAAACUACCUUCGCCCUUUCAUUAAUUAAACCCCAAAUCAGCUACUGGGUAUUCCUAAACUCAGAUACCAUUUUUAUUUUGAAACAAAUUCACACAUUUUCCAAAGGAAAAAUAACUUAGGUAUUUGCUAUUCAAAGCAACCUAGGCCAAUUUCCCUUCUCUUAGCAUGAUCUUAUAUAAUUCAGACUCAAGAGGCAUUCUUGUAUGAACAUAGCAACAAACAUACUAUAAUAACGUAAGAAGUAAAUUCUAUGACCUAUUACUGAUCCAACCCACCUGGAUGUGGCAGACUUCUUUGAGCAACCCGAUGGAAAAAUAGACCACCUAAUCGG